GAGUUUGAUCUUGGCUCAGGACGAACGCUGGCGGCGUGCUUAACACAUGCAAGUCGAACGGACCCUGUGGGGCUUGCUCUGCAGGGUUAGUGGCGAACGGGUGCGUAACACGUGAGGAAUCUGUCCUUCGGCGGGGGAUAGCCGGCCCAACGGCCGGGUAAUACCGCGUACGCUCGUUCCGGGGCAUCCCGGGACGCGGAAAGCCGCAAGGCGCCGAUGGAGGAUCUCGCGGCCUAUCAGCUAGUUGGCGGGGUAAUGGCCCACCAAGGCGACGACGGGUAGCUGGUCUGAGAGGAUGGCCAGCCACAUUGGGACUGAGACACGGCCCAGACUCCUACGGGAGGCAGCAGUGGGGAAUCUUGCGCAAUGGGCGAAAGCCUGACGCAGCGACGCCGCG
This 397-nucleotide ribosomal RNA is filed under the name uncultured Gemmatimonadota bacterium. Its description in RNAcentral is "bacterial SSU rRNA". It matches the Rfam family "Bacterial small subunit ribosomal RNA", at positions 9 to 401 of the family's 1533-position model. Lineage: Bacteria; Pseudomonadati; Gemmatimonadota. The record is from RNAcentral.